UCGUCUUACUGAGAAAAUAGUUCCCAGUAUGUAUACGGUUAGAAGAUGGCUCUAUCUCAUGUGACCUUGUUAUUUGUACACGCUGUGACUACACAAAUCACAACAUGU
Long non-coding RNA from Etheostoma spectabile (orangethroat darter), 108 nucleotides. RefSeq lists it as uncharacterized. Lineage: Eukaryota; Metazoa; Chordata; Actinopteri; Perciformes; Percidae. The transcript has 3 exons. The record is from RefSeq and is a predicted model, not a curated record.